Molecule: ribosomal RNA, 1368 nt
Filed under: uncultured bacterium
Lineage: Bacteria
Description: bacterial SSU rRNA
Rfam family: Bacterial small subunit ribosomal RNA
Source: RNAcentral
GACGAACGCUGGCGGCGUGCCUAAUGCAUGCAAGUAGAACGCUGAAGAGAGGAGCUUGCUCUUCUUGGAUGAGUUGCGAACGGGUGAGUAACGCGUAGGUAACCUGCCUUGUAGCGGGGGAUAACUAUUGGAAACGAUAGCUAAUACCGCAUAACAAUGGAUGACACAUGUCAUUUAUUUGAAAGGGGCAAUUGCUCCACUACAAGAUGGACCUGCGUUGUAUUAGCUAGUAGGUGAGGUAACGGCUCACCUAGGCGACGAUACAUAGCCGACCUGAGAGGGUGAUCGGCCACACUGGGACUGAGACACGGCCCAGACUCCUACGGGAGGCAGCAGUAGGGAAUCUUCGGCAAUGGGGGCAACCCUGACCGAGCAACGCCGCGUGAGUGAAGAAGGUUUUCGGAUCGUAAAGCUCUGUUGUAAGUCAAGAACGAGUGUGAGAGUGGAAAGUUCACACUGUGACGGUAGCUUACCAGAAAGGGACGGCUAACUACGUGCCAGCAGCCGCGGUAAUACGUAGGUCCCGAGCGUUGUCCGGAUUUAUUGGGCGUAAAGCGAGCGCAGGCGGUUUGAUAAGUCUGAAGUUAAAGGCUGUGGCUCAACCAUAGUUCGCUUUGGAAACUGUCAAACUUGAGUGCAGAAGGGGAGAGUGGAAUUCCAUGUGUAGCGGUGAAAUGCGUAGAUAUAUGGAGGAACACCGGUGGCGAAAGCGGCUCUCUGGUCUGUAACUGACGCUGAGGCUCGAAAGCGUGGGGAGCGAACAGGAUUAGAUACCCUGGUAGUCCACGCCGUAAACGAUGAGUGCUAGGUGUUGGAUCCUUUCCGGGAUUCAGUGCCGCAGCUAACGCAUUAAGCACUCCGCCUGGGGAGUACGACCGCAAGGUUGAAACUCAAAGGAAUUGACGGGGGCCCGCACAAGCGGUGGAGCAUGUGGUUUAAUUCGAAGCAACGCGAAGAACCUUACCAGGUCUUGACAUCCCGAUGCUAUUUCUAGAGAUAGAAAGUUACUUCGGUACAUCGGUGACAGGUGGUGCAUGGUUGUCGUCAGCUCGUGUCGUGAGAUGUUGGGUUAAGUCCCGCAACGAGCGCAACCCCUAUUGUUAGUUGCCAUCAUUCAGUUGGGCACUCUAGCGAGACUGCCGGUAAUAAACCGGAGGAAGGUGGGGAUGACGUCAAAUCAUCAUGCCCCUUAUGACCUGGGCUACACACGUGCUACAAUGGUUGGUACAACGAGUUGCGAGUCGGUGACGGCAAGCUAAUCUCUUAAAGCCAAUCUCAGUUCGGAUUGUAGGCCGCAACUCGCCUACACGAAGUCGGAAUCGCUAGUAAUCGCGGAUCAGCACGCCGCGGUGAAUACGUUCCCGGGCC